Molecule: ribosomal RNA, 208 nt
Filed under: uncultured bacterium
Lineage: Bacteria
Description: partial 16S ribosomal RNA
Rfam family: Bacterial small subunit ribosomal RNA
Source: RNAcentral
CUCGUAGGCGGUUUGUCGCGUCUGCCGUGAAAGUCCGGGGCUCAACUCCGGAUCUGCGGUGGGUACGGGCAGACUAGAGUGAUGCAGGGGGAGACUGGAAUUCCUGGUGUAGCGGUGAAAUGCGCAGAUAUCAGGAGGAACACCGAUGGCGAAGGCAGGUCUCUGGGCAUUAACUGACGCUGAGGAGCGAAAGCAUGGGGAGCGAACA